Molecule: unclassified non-coding RNA, 297 nt
Filed under: Hevea brasiliensis (rubber tree)
Lineage: Eukaryota; Viridiplantae; Streptophyta; Magnoliopsida; Malpighiales; Euphorbiaceae
Source: RNAcentral
AAAAAUUCAAAUAUCAUUUCCAACGCUGAUCUCAUUUAAUUGUGAAGUUCCAUUCAAACUUUUCACCUAUUAAAUUUAUUUGAUUUGACUAGUAGAGACUUUUAAACGCCUUUGAUAGCAGAACAUUUUACUACUAAGAUUUGGCUGAACUUAGAUGACCAGAAGAAGAAAUUAAGAUGAUAAAGUGUUGAAAACUACAGAAGAAAAAUCUUGAUGAGAUUUCAGGACAAUGCUUCUUAUUAGAUAUCAAGCUGCGUAACGCUCAUACACUCAUUACCUUAUUUCAUUAACCUCUUA